RNAcentral lists this ribosomal RNA (776 nucleotides) under uncultured Pseudomonadota bacterium. Its description in RNAcentral is "bacterial SSU rRNA". It matches the Rfam family "Bacterial small subunit ribosomal RNA", at positions 560 to 1335 of the family's 1533-position model. The record is from RNAcentral. Lineage: Bacteria; Pseudomonadati; Pseudomonadota.
GUAAAGCGUGCGUAGGUGGUCUUUUAAGUCGGAUGUGAAAUCCCUGAGCUUAACUUAGGAAUUGCAUUCGAUACUGGGAGACUAGAGUAUGGGAGAGGAUGGUAGAAUUCCAGGUGUAGCGGUGAAAUGCGUAGAGAUCUGGAGGAAUACCGAUGGCGAAGGCAGCCAUCUGGCCUAAUACUGACACUGAGGUACGAAAGCAUGGGGAGCAAACAGGAUUAGAUACCCUGGUAGUCCAUGCCGUAAACGAUGUCUACUAGCCGUUGGGGUCUUUGAGACUUUAGUGGCGCAGCUAACGCGAUAAGUAGACCGCCUGGGGAGUACGGUCGCAAGACUAAAACUCAAAUGAAUUGACGGGGGCCCGCACAAGCGGUGGAGCAUGUGGUUUAAUUCGAUGCAACGCGAAGAACCUUACCUGGUCUUGACAUAGUAAGAACUUUCCAGAGAUGGAUUGGUGCCUUCGGGAGCUUACAUACAGGUGCUGCAUGGCUGUCGUCAGCUCGUGUCGUGAGAUGUUGGGUUAAGUCCCGCAACGAGCGCAACCCUUUUCCUUAUUUGCCAGCGGGUUAAGCCGGGAACUUUAAGGAUACUGCCAGUGACAAACUGGAGGAAGGCGGGGACGACGUCAAGUCAUCAUGGCCCUUACGACCAGGGCUACACACGUGCUACAAUGGUCGGUACAAAGGGUUGCUACCUAGCGAUAGGAUGCUAAUCUCAAAAAGCCGAUCGUAGUCCGGAUUGGAGUCUGCAACUCGACUCCAUGAAGUCGGAAUCGC